AAAGAAGAAUCAAGAGGAAAAAUUUGCUUUUCCAUGUGUAAGGAGAUGGUACAAAGACAUAAUAAUAAAAAAAAAGCAAGGUUUUAGUUUCUCACCAAGAAGGCAGGAAUAGUAAUGCUGAGCCUUUAGAGGGGAAAUUAUGAUGAUAGCUGCCACUGAAGAUGCUGCUGCUGGUGAUAAUGAUGACAACUGUUGAUGGUGGUGAGGAUAUCUAACAUUUAUUUCAUGUUUGUCCUGUGUUAGACUAGGGUUAGAAGCAGCUGUGUAGGUGGUUGGCAUGCUGUGUGGAGUCUGG
Molecule: long non-coding RNA, 295 nt
Filed under: Capra hircus (goat)
Lineage: Eukaryota; Metazoa; Chordata; Mammalia; Artiodactyla; Bovidae
Description: lncRNA (ENSCHIG00000002522.1)
Source: RNAcentral